RNAcentral lists this ribosomal RNA (253 nucleotides) under uncultured bacterium. Its description in RNAcentral is "partial 16S ribosomal RNA". It matches the Rfam family "Bacterial small subunit ribosomal RNA", at positions 524 to 776 of the family's 1533-position model. The record is from RNAcentral.
UACGUAGGGUGCAAGCGUUGUUCGGAAUCAUUGGGCGUAAAGCGCGUGUAGGUUGCUAUGUAAGUCGAAUGUGAAAUCCCUGGGCUCAACCGAGGAAGUGCAUUCGAAACUACAUAGCUCGAGAACGGUAGAGGAAGGUGGAAUUCCAAGUGUAGAGGUGAAAUUCGUAGAUAUUUGGAGGAAUACCGGUGGCGAAGGCGGCCUUCUGGGCCGGUUCUGACACUGAGACGCGAAAGCGUGGGUAGCAAACAGG